This 700-nucleotide ribosomal RNA is filed under the name uncultured organism. RNAcentral describes it as "bacterial SSU rRNA". It matches the Rfam family "Bacterial small subunit ribosomal RNA", at positions 127 to 856 of the family's 1533-position model. The record is from RNAcentral.
UGCCCGGGGGUCGGGGAUAGCUACGGGAAACUGUAGGUAAUACCCGAUAAUGUUUACGGACCAAAGGUUUACUGCCCCUGGAUGAGCCCAUGCCCCAUUAGCUUGUUGGCGGUGUAAUAGACCACCAAGGCGAUGAUGGGUAGCUGGUGUGAGAGCACGACCAGCCUCACUGGCACUGAGACACUGGCCAGACACCUACGGGUGGCUGCAGUCGAGAAUCUUCGGCAAUGGACGAAAGUCUGACCGAGCGACGCCGCGUGCGGGAUGAAGGCCUUCGGGUUGUAAACCGCUGUCGAGGGGGAUUAAGGGCAACUUGAAUGAACCCUGGAGGAAGGAGAGGCUAAGCUCGUGCCAGCAGCCGCGGUAAGACGAGCUCUCCAAACGUUAUUCGAUAUCACUGGGCUUAAAGAGUUCGUAGGCGGCUUUGUAGGUGGGGUGUGAAAGCCCUCGGCUCAACCGAGGAAUUGCGCCCCAAACCGCAGGGCUUGAGGGAUAUAGGGGUAAGCGGAACAGAUGGUGGAGCGGUGAAAUGCAUUGAUAUCAUCUGGAACACCGGUGGCGAAAGCGGCUUACUGGAUAUUUUCUGACGCUGAGGAACGAAAGCUAGGGUAGCGAACGGGAUUAGAUACCCCGGUAGUCCUAGCCGUAAACGAUGAGCACUAGUCUGAAGGACUCUCACAGUCUUUCGGACGUAGCGAAA